Molecule: transfer RNA, 86 nt
Filed under: Candidatus Atribacteria bacterium
Lineage: Bacteria; Pseudomonadati; Atribacterota; Atribacteria
Also listed under: 2 other names
Description: tRNA-Leu
Rfam family: tRNA
About the family: Transfer RNA (tRNA) molecules are approximately 80 nucleotides in length. Their secondary structure includes four short double-helical elements and three loops (D, anti-codon, and T loops).
Source: RNAcentral
GCGAGAGUGGCGGAAUGGAAGACGCGCUGGACUUAGGAUCCAGUGGGUGAAACCCCGUGCGGGUUCAACUCCCGCCUCUCGCACCA